GCUUGGAUGAUCUGGGCUGGUGCCUGGCUAGGACUUCAAAUCCUAGGGAGGCUAGCGCCUCAGGCGUUCGAUUCGCCCUUCUGAGCG
Non-coding RNA from Blepharisma stoltei, 87 nucleotides. Lineage: Eukaryota; Ciliophora; Heterotrichea; Heterotrichida; Blepharismidae. The record is from the annotation of a GenBank genome assembly.